UAAAUGUUGAGUCCCUGACCA
RNAcentral lists this non-coding RNA (21 nucleotides) under Caenorhabditis elegans. Lineage: Eukaryota; Metazoa; Nematoda; Chromadorea; Rhabditida; Rhabditidae. The record is from RNAcentral.